CCGACCUUAGCUCAGUUGGUAGAGCGGAGGACUGUAGAUCCUUAGGUCGCUGGUUCGAUUCCGGCAGGUCGGA
This is a non-coding RNA of Chenopodium quinoa (quinoa), 73 nucleotides long. Lineage: Eukaryota; Viridiplantae; Streptophyta; Magnoliopsida; Caryophyllales; Amaranthaceae. The record is from the annotation of a RefSeq genome assembly.